This is a long non-coding RNA of Hippocampus comes (tiger tail seahorse), 271 nucleotides long. RefSeq lists it as uncharacterized. Lineage: Eukaryota; Metazoa; Chordata; Actinopteri; Syngnathiformes; Syngnathidae. The record is from RefSeq and is a predicted model, not a curated record. The transcript is spliced from 3 exons.
CUACUUACAUCAAUCUUCAAACCAUCUUUCUGCUCCUCCAGAUGUCAUGUUCAUGUCAGUCUGAGAGCGAGGAAAGAAGGAAGAUUAGGAUUAAGGGUCACAGACAUUUGGUGACACAAGCGAGUGAACACGGAAGAAAAUAUGACGACUGUAACAGCUCCCGCUCUUUUUGGAACACUUUGGUUCGCCUUGGCGGAAGUCGUCGCGCGACUUCCCGAUUGGCUGCUUUCGAUCGCUACAAGAAGAAAUCCAACGGUGGCUUUUGCACAGC